UUGUCGCACAACCAGUGUUUAGAGAGUUGUCUACCGCAUAGAGUUAGGUGUGCUUUAGGUGCUGCUUGUUUGUUAAUAAGAGAGACUUCCCUAUAACUCAAGGUGUUGGAAUUUUGCAACAAUGAGUGAUUGGUCGAUGAAUAAAGGGGAUAUGCUACUAUAUAUUAGAAACAUGGCAAGUUAAAGGUGUUGAAGUUUAAGAAUGUCGUGGUCCCUUGCUUAUCAUGAAUGUAGUUACCUAUUAAGAAGUUUAUGUCCCAUUUAUUUAUGUAUUGUAGCUUCUUGUGUUGACAACAUUGAUUGGCAUUGCCCAACCAAAAUGAUUUUGCUUGAUUCAGGUUCUUUCUUGGUUAUGCCAACUAGGUGAUUGGAGGCUCUUGUAUUAAAAUUGUGGCGGACCUUUUUAACACCUAGCUCUUUAAGUCCUAGGGCAUUUCUCUGUAACAUCACAGAUUAUUUAUGCUGUGUCUGAAAUAUCCGAAGUCGUGGCAGAUUGACAAAUUGUUGAUUCAUAGUCUGAGGGAAUGUUCUCUUAAUGUCUCGAGCUUUUGUUUGGAAGCAGAGGGAGUCUUGUGGUGCUGUGAGUAUAGGAGCUAAGGUGGUUAUUAUUAAAUUACUUCAAUUUGGUAGCAAGAGGAUAUGGCUUUAG
Molecule: long non-coding RNA, 649 nt
Filed under: Medicago truncatula (barrel medic)
Lineage: Eukaryota; Viridiplantae; Streptophyta; Magnoliopsida; Fabales; Fabaceae
Description: lncRNA gene8131
Source: RNAcentral